This 135-nucleotide small RNA is filed under the name Salmonella enterica. Its description in RNAcentral is "RtT sRNA". It matches the Rfam family "RtT RNA". Rfam says of the family: This family represents a bacterial cis-regulatory element known as RtT RNA. Lineage: Bacteria; Pseudomonadati; Pseudomonadota; Gammaproteobacteria; Enterobacterales; Enterobacteriaceae. The record is from RNAcentral.
AAAGCCACCCUACAGGGGGGAUAAGAACCACCGACCGGGGUUCGACAACUGGCGCAGCCAGUUGGACAGACGACGAGCUUGCGAGGAGACUGCCCGAAGGGCGAGCGCAGCGAGUCAAUCCUCCCCUCACCGCCA